GCAAGUCGAGCGGUAACAGAGAGUAGCUUGCUACUUUGCUGACGAGCGGCGGACGGGUGAGUAACGCGCAGGAAUUUGCCUGAUAGAGGGGGAUAGCCCGGGGAAACUCGGAUUAAUACCGCAUACGCUCUACGGAGGAAAGCAGGGGCUCUUCGGACCUUGCGCUAUCAGAUAAGCCUGCGUGGGAUUAGCUAGUUGGUGAGGUAAUGGCUCACCAAGGCGACGAUCCCUAGCUGGUCUGAGAGGAUGAUC
This 252-nucleotide ribosomal RNA is filed under the name uncultured bacterium. RNAcentral's name for it is "partial 16S ribosomal RNA". It matches the Rfam family "Bacterial small subunit ribosomal RNA", at positions 57 to 305 of the family's 1533-position model. The record is from RNAcentral.